GACGAACGCUGGCGGCGUGCUUAACACAUGCAAGUCGAACGGAAAGGCCCUGCUUGCAGGGUACUCGAGUGGCGAACGGGUGAGUAACACGUGGGUGAUCUGCCCUGCACUUCGGGAUAAGCCUGGGAAACUGGGUCUAAUACCGGAUAGGAGCCAUUUUUAGUGUGAUGGUUGGAAAGUUUUUUCGGUGUAGGAUGAGCUCGUGGCCUAUCAGCUUGUUGGUGGGGUAAUGGCCUACCAAGGCGGCGACGGGUAGCCGGCCUGAGAGGGUGGACGGCCACAUUGGGACUGAGAUACGGCCCAGACUCCGACGGGAGGCAGCAGUGGGGAAUAUUGCACAAUGGGCGCAAGCCUGAUGCAGCGACGCCGCGUGGGGGAUGACGGCCUUCGGGUUGUAAACUCCUUUCGCUAGGGACGAAGCUUUUUGUGACGGUACCUAGAUAAGAAGCACCGGCUAACUACGUG
RNAcentral lists this ribosomal RNA (465 nucleotides) under uncultured bacterium. Its description in RNAcentral is "partial 16S ribosomal RNA". It matches the Rfam family "Bacterial small subunit ribosomal RNA", at positions 28 to 507 of the family's 1533-position model. The record is from RNAcentral.